AGGGAAUCUUCCACAAUGGGUGCAAACCUGAUGGAGCAAUGCCGCGUGAAUGAAGAAGGUCUUCGGAUCGUAAAGUUCUGUUAUUAGAGAAGAACAAGUUGAGGAGUAACUGCCUCAACCUUGACAGUAUCUAACCAGAAAGUCACGGCUAACUACGUGCCAGCAGCCGCGGUAAUACGUAGGUGACAAGCGUUGUCCGGAAUUAUUGGGCGUAAAGGGAGCGCAGGCGGUUGGAAUAGUCUGAUGUGAAAGCCCACGGCUUAACCGUGGAAGGUCAUUGGAAACUGUCCAACUUGAAUGCAGAAGAGGUAAGUGGAAUUCCAUGUGUAGCGGUGAAAUGCGUAGAUAUAUGGAGGAACACCAGUGGCGAAGGCGACUUACUGGUCUGUGAUUGACGCUGAGGCUCGAAAGCGUGGGUAGCGAACAGG
This 428-nucleotide ribosomal RNA is filed under the name uncultured bacterium. Its description in RNAcentral is "bacterial SSU rRNA". It matches the Rfam family "Bacterial small subunit ribosomal RNA", at positions 356 to 776 of the family's 1533-position model. The record is from RNAcentral.